CCAAAAUAGAAAUCCAACCCAAGAGACUUUUUCUCUCUCUCCCUCUUCCGCCUCCUUUCAUCUAUCAAAUUUCUGCAACCUCUGCUCUUCUCCAAUGGAGCUGAAUUUUGGACACCCUAUAGUUCUUGAGCAUAUGAACAACUUUCAAGAAGGAACCAUUUCUGUUUGAGCGACGGAAAUUAAAGUGUUGAAGCUCCACACAUGAUAGUCGGCUUCUUGCAGAUUUCGAAGCUGUUGUGAUGUUUCGAAGAUCUGGAAAUAUUUAACCGUUAGUUCAUCCUGAAUUUUUGAUAUGUUAUGAAAGAGUCGAUGAGGAACAACUUCAAUGAAGAAAGCAUACCGAUCUGAACAAGAGAAAAUGGAGUUUCGAAGCUCACAACAAAUCUGACGGGUUGACAGACAAAUAAUAACCAGUCAUUCAUCAUACCUGAAUUUCUUGAGUUAUACAGCUCCGAGGGAUCUCAAAUUUUGAUAUGUUGUAGUUCACAAGCUGAGGAACAACUUCAAUGAAGAAAGCAUACCGAUCUGAACAAGAUAAAAUGGAGUUUCGAAGCUCACAACAAAUCUGACGGGUUGACAGAAAAAUAAUAACCAGUCAUUCAUCAUACCUGAGUUUCUUGAGUUAUACAGCUCCGAGGGAUCUCAAAUUUGGAUAUGUUGUAGUUCACAAGCUGAGGAACAACUUCAAUGAAGAAAGCAUACCGAUCUGAACAAGAGAAAAUGGAGUUUCGAAGCUCACAACAAAUCUGACGGGUUGACAGAAAAAUAAUAACCAGUCACUCAUCAUACCUGGAUUUCUGGAGUUGUACUGCUCCGAUGGCUCUCCAAUUUGGAUAUGUUGUAGUUAAGGAAUUAACGAACAACUUUCAUGAAGACAACUUUGUGAUUCGACCUACAGAUGAUGGUGUUAUGUUGAAAAACAAUUCCGGUUGUUAGGGGAAAUGAAAAACAAUUCCACCAAAGAAACAUCAUUAUGAUGUUUCAUCAUUAUGGUGUUUUCAUCAUUAUGAUGCUUUCAUCAUUGUGAUGCUUCCAUUAUGAUGUUAAUGCACCAACGGUUACACCUUCUGCAAUUCCACUUAUUCGGGCCUAGCAACCUUCAUCAACAAAAUCUAUGAAGAAAAAGUCCGGGGCUAUUAGCAAGACACCUCAUUCGUCAACUCCCUCGACUAGAGACUUGGGGGACUCCCACCAUAUGCUACUACGCCUUGGUACUCAAAAGUUCGUGACUACUCAGUGACUUGGAUUUUUCAAGUCUCCAACCGAGAAGUUUUCCUCACUCGGGAAAUUAAGGGAACACUACCUCAAACUACAUGCUUC
This 1320-nucleotide long non-coding RNA is filed under the name Malus domestica (apple). Its description in RNAcentral is "long non-coding RNA (MDOM_LNC008950)". Lineage: Eukaryota; Viridiplantae; Streptophyta; Magnoliopsida; Rosales; Rosaceae. The record is from RNAcentral.